GGGCACAAAGCAAGCUAAUGUCACCUGAGACCACUUUGGGGACACUGACUGAGGAUUCCCUUAAUCCUGAGCAGCAGCUCCCUCCUGCCCACACCCUAGGGUCAGGAGACAGCUGCUCCCCCUGGUCUCCAGAUGGCAGGGCACAGAGGGGUGACCCCAGUCUCCCUCGAGGGGUGGGAAGCAGGGGGACCGACCCCUGUUCCUCAGCCUUCUCCAACACAGCCUGGGGAGUCUCAACCAAGCAGAAAGGAGAGGAGGGGGCCCCAAGGGAGCGGGUCCACAGGGAGGAGGAGAGGACAGCUUUCCAUCUGCCAGACACAGUCCCAGCGAGCAGUGCCUCGAAGAACAAGGCACAAAAUGUCAUAGCCCCGGAGUCUGAGGCAACCUGCUGGCAGCUGUUGUCCAGAUGUUUUCGAUCCUGGAGGCACUUGGUGAAGAGGCAGCGGGAGCCAGCGGCGGCGGCAGUGGCACUGGGCCGCUGGCAGCUGUUGCGAAAGGGCCUUCAGGCCCUGUGGCUCCGGGAGGCUCAGCUGGAGGCAGCAUGGGGGCAGUACACAAAGGUUCUGCUGGUCCGGAGCUUCCGAGAGUGGAGAAACCUGGCUUUACAGCAGAAACAAGUACAGCCCCACAUGCAGGCUGGGCCAGGGUCCCCGCCCUCCAGGAGAGCCCAGGGCCAAGGCCUCUCCUUGGGAAGAAGCACAGUGGUGGACCCCGCCCAGAGAAGCAGGCUGGAACACACCAGUCCAGGAAGUCUGAGCGAGGAGGAGAGAGCUCAGUGGCUUCUGUCACAUCCUAGGCAGAGAACAGACAGCAGAGACGAGAGAGUCCAGAUCCUGCAGGCCCUGCAACUGGUUGUGUUCUUCCUGUGGUGCCAACAGAAGAAACGAGCCAGACAGGAGAGGGAGACUCGGCGCAAGGCCACCAGGGCCACACAGAGGACAGGGAGCUUCCCCCAGGCCUGGCACUCUACUGCUGCAGGUGUAGCCUGGGCAGCCCCACUGAGCCCCCAGCACCAGAGAGCUUGGCUGUGCAGGUGCUUCGGGGCGUGGCAGCAGUUUGUGCAAAGAGGGUCCUGGUACCGAGACCACCCGGCUGACCGCCGGACAGGGACCCUGAGGAAAUGCCUGGAACAGUGGGUGCGGAUGAAGCAGCUCCGGGAGUCAGAUGGGGCAAAGGUGACCCAGCUGUCCCUCUGCCGGCAGAAAGCAGGACGUGAGGCUCUCUACACCGCAGGCCCUGGAGCCUGUGGCCUGGGUACAGUGGGCCAGGCCCAGGGGCUGCAGAAGCAAGGCCGGGGCUCCCUGCAGGAUGCCUGCCGGACACUGGCCCUCUGCCGGGCGCUGCUGUUGUGGAAGAUGCGGCUUUUCCAGCGCCAGUGGGCCAAAGAAACUGAGGCUCAGAGGGCUGGAGCAGCUUGCUGUAAAUCCCAGUGAGAGUCAGGAGCCAGAAGGUCCUGUGGUGAGACCUUGGUGCUGCCCCCACACAAGAUGGUCACUGCUGGAAUUCAGAGCCCAGACGAAGGCUGUAAAUGAGGGGAGGGUGGCGAUCAGGAGAAGCCAGCUUCCCGGAGGGGAUGUCAGGAGGAAUGGAAGCCAGCAGUUGCAGGGUUAAGAAUGCUGUCCUUGGCUGGGUGCGGUGGCUCACACCUGUAAUCCCAGCACUUUAAGAGGCUGAGGCUAGUGGAUCACCUGAGGUCAGGAGUUCGAGACCAGCCUGGUGAACAUGGCGAAACCCCAUCUCUACUAAAAAUACAAAAGUUAGCCAGGCGUGGUGGCGCUCGCCUGUAAUCCCAGCUACUUGGGAGGCUGAGGCAGAAGAAUGGCUUGAACCUAGGAAGCAGAGGUUGCAGUGAGCCAAGAUCAUGCCACUGCACCCUGGACGACAGAGCGAGAAUCCAUCUCAAAAAAAAAAAAAGAAUUCUGUCCUUGAAAACCACACACCCAUGUGGUCCACUUGGACCCUCAGCCUCUUUCAGUGUACCCCUGCAACUCCAGGGGAAUUCAAUUCACCGUGACCUUUCAGAAUGUGGGGGCACUGCUCACAUGCCUGCCCCACAACCCCUAGGCCCUCCCUUUCCAGCCCAUCCUCUGGCCUUUGGACUUCAGAGCACAGUUCAUAUCUCCUGGCAGCUCUCCCGGGGCACCCUCCUGGCCUAGAUGAGUUCCAGGUCUGCUGCUAUUUGGAGUUUGGGGAAAUGACCUUCCCCCGGGCUCAGCUUUCUUAUCUUUAUAAGUGAGUGGAGGCAGAAGUACUGGUGUGGUUGUAGGGGUGGGCUCUGGAGUCUGGGGUUCCUGGGCCUAGGGCUCAGCUCCACCUCUGAUCAGCUGCAUGGGCUCCCAGCCCGCCCCAGGAGCAUGAUGAGGCCAGCCAGUGAUGCAGGUCCUGCAUUAGCUAAGAGCUAAUGCUCUUAGCUCGGUUAGCCAGAUGUGGUGGCACGCACCUGUAAUCCCAGCUACUCAGGAGGCUGAGGCAGGAGAAUAGCUUGAACCCAGGAGGCAGAGGUUGCAGUGAGCUAAGAUUGUGCCACUGCACUCCAGCCUGGGUCACAGAGCCAGACCCUGUCUCAAAAAUAAAUAAAUAAAUAAAUAA
Molecule: small RNA, 2589 nt
Filed under: Pongo abelii (Sumatran orangutan)
Lineage: Eukaryota; Metazoa; Chordata; Mammalia; Primates; Hominidae
Description: processed transcript
Source: RNAcentral